Molecule: RNA transcript, 1493 nt
Organism: Juglans regia (Persian walnut)
Lineage: Eukaryota; Viridiplantae; Streptophyta; Magnoliopsida; Fagales; Juglandaceae
Gene name: calmodulin-7-like
Exons: 4
Source: RefSeq, a predicted model, not a curated record
ACCGGGACAAUAUUCUUUUUUCAUCUCUAUCUGAUUUUAUUAUGGCUUGCAAAAUCCCUUUUAGAAAGGAAGAAAAAAUGGCUGAUCAGCUCACUGACGACCAGGUCUCUGAGUUGAGGGAGGCCUUCAGCCUCUUCGACAAGGACGGCGAUGGCUGUAUCACUGCCAAAGAGCUUGGGAAUGUGAUGCGGUCACUAGGGCAGAAUCCAACUGAACCGGAGUUGCAAGAGAUGAUAGAUGAGGCUGAUACUGAUAACGAUGGUACUAUAAAUUUCGUAGAAUUCCUUGAGCUGAUGGCCCGAGGGAUGAAGGACGCCGCUUCGGAGGAGGAGCUAAGGGAGGCUUUCCGGGUGUUCGACAAAGACCAAGAUGGCCUUAUUUCUGAAGCUGAGCUGCGAAAUGUUAUGACAAAUCUAGGUGAGAAGCUGACGAAAGAGGAAGUUGAUGAGAUGAUUCGUGAGGUUGACAUGGAUGGUAAUAACCACGUCGACUAUGAGGAGUUUGCCAAAGUCAUGAUGGCCAAAAGAGAUAAGAGGAUGGGAGAUCAGAGAAGCCCUAGCCCUAGUUUCCGAAGAUUAGAUCAACCUAUCAAACUGACGUCCUCAAAUGUAGAGGUCAGUGACCACAAGGGACGUUGUCUUUGUUGUAUCCUCUAAUUACCAGUGAAGUACUACUCCUGAAUGGUCCAAGUUGUGUGGUACAAAUGACUCAGGUCUAGAAAUUAGGAUUCGGGUCCAAGUCUAAGGGCUAUGCCAAAAUGAGGGAAUGAAUCCCCUCACACGGGGAAAAAUGUUGGCAACAAGGAGGUAGCUGGGUGGGCAACGUGCAUCUGAAGUGGAAGCAAGGCGAGCAACACUUUGUAGAAAGCUUGGCAGCUGUGGCACAACAUAGGGCAACGAAGGAAGACGAGCAAUGAGCAGGGACAAGCCCGGUGCAAAUUCGGGAGCACUCCAGGGCAAUUCGAAGAAGCUUAAAGGGAACAAGUGUCGUACCCAAGGCCCAUGCAUUAAAGACAUCACGUCAUGAGUACGCUUGGGAAUAAGGUAUACAAACCUGCAAGCCAUAUCAUCUGAUCUCAUAAGUAUGUCCUAACUCCACACGGAAGACUCUCAUAACGAGAAGGACAAUGGGUUUGGUCCCAAGGCAAGUUGUAGAGACGUGCGAGCGUUGUCCGACCAGUCACUCGGUCUCUACGAUUCUUCAAGUUCAUAAGACAAAUGGAUGACCGUGAUUUAAGGUCUCUCAUUCAAGAAAGACAGAGGCCAGUGGAAACGUCAAGAUCCGUCAGGACUAUAACUGGCAAUUAUGUCGUAUAUAAGACAAUAGAGGAUAGUCAACAUUUCACUUUAGAGAUCAUAAAGGAUUUCAACACUUUUUUUUUCUUCUUUUCUAUUCGAGGAUUUCAAGGAGGCGGAAAACUCAAAGACUUCAUCAACCAAGGGAUUGGCACCGCCAGUGCAACUUAGUAUUAGAAUACUAUUCAGGUAGGUUCA